Molecule: ribosomal RNA, 840 nt
Filed under: uncultured bacterium
Lineage: Bacteria
Description: bacterial SSU rRNA
Rfam family: Bacterial small subunit ribosomal RNA
Source: RNAcentral
GAACGGUGGUUAUUUUGUAGUAAUACGAAGUGAUCAUAGUGGCGAACGGGUGAGUAACGCGUUGGUGAUCUGCCUCGAAGUGUGGAAUAACGUUCCGAAAGGAACGCUAAUACCGCAUGUGCUCUCGAUUUUUAGAAAGUUGAGAGUAAAGGAUUUAUUCGCUUCGGGAGGGGCCUGCGUCCCAUCAGCUAGUUGGUAAGGUAAUGGCUUACCAAGGCGAUGACGGGUAGGGGACCUGAGAGGGUGGCCCCCCACAAUGGAACUGAAACACGGUCCAUACACCUACGGGUGGCAGCAGUAGGGAAUAUUGGUAAUCUGGGAAACCGGGAACCAGCAACGCCGCGUGCACGAUGAAGGCCUUCGGGUCGUAAAGUGCUUUUUGAAGGGAUGAGGAAGGACAGUACCUUCAGAAUAAGCCUCGGCUAACUACGUGCCAGCAGCCGCGGUAAAACGUAGGAGGCGAGCGUUAUCCGGAUUUACUGGGCGUAAAGCGUGUGUAGGCGGUUUGAUAAGUUGGAUGUGAAAGCUCCCGGCUCAACUGGGAGAGGUCGUUCAAAACUAUCAGACUAGAGAGUGGUAGAGGGAGGUGGAAUUUCCGCGUGUAGUGGUGAAAUGCGUAGAUAUGCGGAGGAACACCAGUGGCGAAAGCGGCCUCCUGGCCCAUUUCUGACGCUCAGACACGAAAGCUAAGGUAGCAAACGGGAUUAGAGACCCCGGUAGUCUUAGCUGUAAACGAUGUGAACUUAGUGUCGGUGGGGUUAAAUCCAUCGGUACUGAAGCUAACGCGAUAAGUUCACCGCCUGAGGACUACGGCCGCAAGGUUAAAACUCAAAGGAAUUG